Molecule: ribosomal RNA, 455 nt
Filed under: uncultured bacterium
Lineage: Bacteria
Description: bacterial SSU rRNA
Rfam family: Bacterial small subunit ribosomal RNA
Source: RNAcentral
CAGCGCCGGACACAUGCAUGUCGAGCGAGGAGCUUGCUCCAUACAGGCGAACGGGUGAGUAACACGUGAGCAAUCUGCCCUUCACUUCNGGGAUAACUCCGGGAAACCGGUGCUAAUACCGAAUACGACCACUUCAGGCAUCUGAUGGUGGUGGAAAGUUCCGGCGGUGGAGGAUGAGCUCGCGGCCUAUCAGCUUGUUGGUGGGGUAACGGCCCACCAAGGCAACGACGGGUAGCCGGCCUGAGAGGGUGACCGGCCACACUGGGACUGAGACACGGCCCAAACUCCUACGGGAGGCAGCAGUGGGGAAUCUUGCGCAAUGGGCGAAAGCCUGACGCAGCCAUGCCGCGUGGAUGAUGAAGGUCUUAGGAUUGUAAAAUCCUUUCAGCGGGGACGAUAAUGACGGUACCCGCAGAAGAAGCCCCGGCUAACUUCGUGCCAGCAGCCGCGGUAAU